This 2528-nucleotide long non-coding RNA is filed under the name Salmo salar (Atlantic salmon). RNAcentral describes it as "lncRNA (ENSSSAG00000104660.1)". Lineage: Eukaryota; Metazoa; Chordata; Actinopteri; Salmoniformes; Salmonidae. The record is from RNAcentral.
CUGCCCCACAACCCCAGCUACCUAUUCUGCCCCACAACCCCAGCUACCUAUUCUGCCCCACAACCCCAGCUACCUAUUCUGCCCCACAACCCCAGCUACCUAUUCUGCCCCACAACCCCAGCUACCUGUUCUGCCCCACAACCCCAGCUACCUGUUUUGCCCCACAACCCCAGCUACCUGUUUUGCCCCACAACCCCAGCUACCUGUUUUGCCCCACAACCCCAGCUACCUGUUUUGCCCCACAACCCCAGCUACCUGUUUUGCCCCACAAACCCCAGACAUCUAUUCUGCCCCACAAACCCAGCCAUCUAUUCUGCCCCACAAACCCAGCCAUCUAUUCUGCCCCACAAACCCAGCUACCUAUUCUGCCCCACAACCCCAGCUACCUAUUCUGCUCCACAACCCCAGUUACCUGCUACCUAUUCUGCCCCACAAACCCAGCUACCUAUUCUGCUCCACAACCCCAGCCACCUGCUAAACUAUAGUACCUGUAGCUAUUCUACCAACUACUCUGCUACAGUAACUACAAACAGGAGGAUCUGUUUCUGUUAGCUUUGGAAGAGACUGGAGACAUGGAGAUGUAGGAAAGAGAUCUUCACAACAACGGAGCCUGUUUCUGUCCGUAUUGUUAGAUUUAACCUGUAGCCUGUAUGAGAGGACGGUUCAAGUCUGAAUGAUCAGAACAGGCACUGCUGUUGUCUGUUUCUCUGCUGCCUCUCCCUCACUCCCUCAUUCCCUCCUCUUCUCUCCCUCAUUCCCUCCUCUUCUCUUCCUCACUCCCUCCUCUUCUCUCCCCUCACUCCCUCCUCUUCUCUCCCCUCACUCCCUCCUCUUCUCUCCCCUCACUCCCUCCUCUUCUCUCCCCUCACUCCCUCCCUCCUCUUCUCUCCCCUCACUCCCUCCCUCCUCUUCUCUCCCCUCACUCCCUCCCUCCUCUUCUCUCCCCUCACUCACUCACUCCCUCCAAUUCUCUCCCCUCACUCACUCACUCCCUCCAAUUCUCUCCCCUCACUCACUCCCUCCUCUUCUCUCUCUCAUCCUCAGACUACUCAGUACGCUACAGAGAUUACAUAGACUAACUCUUCUUCUCUGAUGCCUUGUGUGACUUUUAAGAAUGUACUUAAAAGCAGCCAUUUUCUUUUCGGUUAGCGUGUGUUUCUGAGGGAAUGGUUUUCAUGUUUUCGGUUAGCGUGUGUUUCUGAGGGAAUGGUUUUCAUGUUUUCGGUUAGCGUGUGUUUCUGAGGGAAUGGUUUUCAAUGCUUUCGGUUAGCGUGUGUUUCUGAGGGAAUGGUUUUCAAUGCUUUCAGUUAGCAUGUGUUUCUGAGGGAAUGGUUUUCAAUGUUUUCAGUUAGCCUGUGUUUCUGAGGGAAUGGUUAAAAAAACAGACUUCAGAUUCAAAUGUAACGACUCCAUUUCUAGCAUGGUUCAUGUGCACAAACACUUUUUUUUUUUUUUUUUUUAGAUCAGCUGCAGCGAUAUAACCUCUUCUGAAAGCUCUUGAGACUAAACUGUAUUUGGAAGUAGAUCCACAGUUUCAGAAUUCAUCUUUAUAUUGAUUGAUACAAUAUUAUGUCAGCAGCUCAACCCAUGUUUCCUUAUUCCAGAAGUGAUCGGGGGAAAUGGUUCUGUCUUUAUCAUGCGUUUAGUCUAUUUAAGAUGUUUUGUAUGUCAGAUUUGGAAUGAAAGUUUAAGAUAUGGAGUGAAUCCCGAAUGGCACCAUACUCCCUUUAUUAGUGCACUACUAUAUAGCCCUGUAGGGUUCUGGUGAAAAGUAGUGCACUAUAUAGGGAAUAGGGUGCCAUUUUGGGAUGCAUACAUUAAUAUAUGUCACAGUUGUAUCCUCGCAACAUUGUAAUUAAAUACGUGAAGCAUCAGCCAACCACCCAUCUGUUUGUUAUUGAAGGUCUAGCUAGCUAUACUCAACCAACCGCCCAUCUGUUAUUGAACAUCUAGCUAGCUAUACUCAACCAACCGCCCAUCUGUUAUUGAACAUCUAGCUAGCUAUACUCAACCAACCGCCCAUCUGUUAUUGACAAUCUAGCUAGCUACACUCAACCAACCGCCCAUCUGUUAUUGAACGUCUAGCUAGCUAUACUCAACCAACCACCCAUCUGUUUAUUGAAGGUCUAGCUAGCUAUACUCAACCAACCGCCCAUCUGUUAUUGAACAUCUAGCUAGCUAUACUCAACCAACUGCCCAUCUGUUUGUUAUUGAAGGUCUAGCUAGCUACACUCAACCAACCGCCCAUCUGUUAUUGAACCUCUAGCUAGCUAUACUCAACCAACCACCCAUCUGUUAUUGAAGGUCUAGCUAGCUAUACUCAACCAACUGCCCAUCUGUUUGUUAUUGAAGGUCUAGCUAGCUACAGUAUACUCAGCCUGUUGCACCAUCUCACUGUUUUACCUUCAAAACAUUGGUACCAUUAUAUAAACAGACAGUAUGAACAUUUUGUUUCUUAUUUUAUUGUGCAAAUCAAAUCAGUAUAUCAGUAUUGCAUGAAUUGAUUAAUAAACAUGACUUUACACUCA